Molecule: long non-coding RNA, 1586 nt
Organism: Strigops habroptila (Kakapo)
Lineage: Eukaryota; Metazoa; Chordata; Aves; Psittaciformes; Psittacidae
Source: Ensembl
UUUCUGAGUUGGAAGAACAGAGUGUUCUCAUGAUCAUUUAUAAUGAACAUUUGUGAGAUACUUGGAUACAUUUGUUAUGACUGAUACAGAAAAAUGAAAACAUAAGUGGGGAGUGGAUACUCUUUUUCAGGAGUUAGCCUGAAAAUUAUGUAGUAAUUCUUAAAAGGAAGAUCUGAUUUGUUUAGUGUGUGUUCUUUAUGCACCAUGUUGUAAUUAGCUUACAGUGCUGCUAGGUGAAUUUUUAAUUAUUUUGUGCAGUUCAUUUAAAAUAAGUCUGUAUAUCUAACUAAAGUCCACUAAAAUAAGCUGUAAUCCUAGAUCUUACCUGACAGGAUAAGCUCUCUCAGGAUCUCUUGAAACAGAGUUGUAUUAUUUAUGCUGUACGUGCCAUGCAUGUGCAUUGUGCUGUUAGCCAGAGCUAUAGCUGGAGUCUCUCCACUCACCAGAAGUAUUCCACAUUUACAGCCAAACAUGGGGAACAAGCAUGUGCUCACUGUUCCCAUUUUUAAAGCAUGAGAAUGCCCAGCACAGUGUGUGCUGUGGUUUUGCCUGAGAGUGUCCCACAGCAAGAGCUGUAACAUGGACAAUUAUCAUGAAAAUUGAAGAAAAGUCACUUUCUUCCUUAAAAUCAUGAAACUGCCUUUGAAUUCCAUAGGUACCAACCUGAGGUGGCGUUUAACUGUCAGUCUAAACAGAAAAGGUUUGAUCAGCACAAUAUCAAGCAGUUUCUCUAUGAAAUUCUACAUCAGAGGAUGCUCCAGGCAGCAGCCAGACUGUCUGUAAACAUUCCAACUCUGCCCUCUACAACAUGCAGUCUUCAGACCAGAACCAAAGCAGGUUGCUGAGGAUGUACAGUAAAUGUCCCUGGGAAACUGAGAGUUAGCUUUUCCAAGCUCCUUAAUCCUGGGGAGGAAAAUGAGUGCCUGAUUAACCAAGAGGCCAUCUAAAGGCUGCUCAGCCUGCCAGAGAAUCAUGUGUGGUGUUUGUCUUUAUCCAAAUGGCUUUAAAGUUUCACCAUAUUUUUCUUUUUGUAACAAAGCAUGACAAAGAGGGGUCUGGGCAAUCCUCAUUGAGGUAUUUCUUGUUUGUUUGUCAUCCAUUACUAUUAGCCAGAGCCAAAAUCUAGACACCAAAUCAAGUUUCUCUGUCUUCCAUUAUAUUAUAUAAAAUUCCCAUCAUUUUGUGGACAUCAAACACUUCAAAAUAUACAAAUACUUUAAUACAUACAAGUCUUCAUAGUCCAUUAAAUAUAAUUAAUUCCAUGGUCUUCAAAAUAGUCUAUCACUGUAUUAACUGUAAGAAAAAGGUUUGCACUGGUAUUUAUAUAGUAUUGAUUUGAUCUGGCCUAUGCAAAACCUUUCAGCACACCACAGGGAUUAAAAAGAGCAGCAAUUCCACUAAAAUCCAGAGCAUUUGGGGUUAGAGCCAAACAAAGAAAAGAUACUAUCAGGAGAUUAUCAAGGGAGAGUGAUUACAGCUGCAGGAGUUAGCAGCAGUGUGUAUAGCACAUACAGAGACACUACACUGGCUUCCCCUUUAGAUGGACUUCUGGCAAGCCCAGUGCAUCCUGCUGGAGAAUCGCACUG